Molecule: ribosomal RNA, 505 nt
Filed under: uncultured bacterium
Lineage: Bacteria
Description: partial 16S ribosomal RNA
Rfam family: Bacterial small subunit ribosomal RNA
Source: RNAcentral
GACGAACGCUGGCGGCGUGCCUAAUACAUGCAAGUAGAACGCACAGUUUAUACCGUAGCUUGCUACACCAUAAACUGUGAGUUGCGAACGGGUGAGUAACGCGUAGGUAACCCGCCUGGUAGCGGGGGAUAACUAUUGGAAACGAUAGCUAAUACCGCAUAAUAUUGAUUAUUGCAUGAUAAUUGAUUGAAAGAUGCUAUUGCAUCACUACCAGAUGGACCUGCGUUGUAUUAGCUAGUAGGUGAGGUAACGGCUCACCUAGGCGACGAUACAUAGCCGACCUGGGAAGGUGAUCGGCCAAACUGGGAAUGAGAACCGGCCCAGACUCCUACGGGAGGCAGCAGUAGGGAAUCUUCGGCAAUGGACGAAAGUCUGACCGAGCAGGGCCGCGUGAGUGAAGAAGGGUUUCGGAUCGUAAAGCUCUGUUGUAAGAGAAGAACGGGUGUGAGAGUGGAAAGUUCACACUGUGACGGUAUCUUACCAGAAAGGGACGGCUAACUACGUG